GCGCGCUUAGCUCAGUAGCAGAGCAUCUCAUUGACGUUGAGAGGGUCGAAAGUGCAACUCUUUCAGCGCGCA
RNAcentral lists this transfer RNA (72 nucleotides) under Candidatus Staskawiczbacteria bacterium RIFCSPHIGHO2_01_FULL_34_27. Its description in RNAcentral is "tRNA-Val". It matches the Rfam family "tRNA". Rfam says of the family: Transfer RNA (tRNA) molecules are approximately 80 nucleotides in length. Their secondary structure includes four short double-helical elements and three loops (D, anti-codon, and T loops). Lineage: Bacteria; Candidatus Staskawicziibacteriota. The record is from RNAcentral.